GCGUUGAAGCGGGAGGUUGCUGCCGAAAGGCAGGUAAUUUCCGUGGAGUAUGUCCGAUAUUUAACCGGGCGACA
This 74-nucleotide non-coding RNA is filed under the name bovine gut metagenome. RNAcentral describes it as "S10-Clostridia ribosomal protein leader". It matches the Rfam family "S10-Clostridia ribosomal protein leader". The record is from RNAcentral.